GUCUAUGGCCAUGUGACCCUGAACAAGCCCGAUCCCGUCUGAUCACGAAAGCUAAGCAGGGCUGGGCCUGGUUAGUACUUGGAUGGGAGACCACCUAGGAAGACCAGGGCCUGUAGGCA
RNAcentral lists this ribosomal RNA (119 nucleotides) under Pteropus alecto (black flying fox). The record is from RNAcentral. Lineage: Eukaryota; Metazoa; Chordata; Mammalia; Chiroptera; Pteropodidae.